CCUACGGGUGGCAGCAGUGGGGAAUAUUGCGCAAUGGGCGAAAGCCUGACGCAGCGACGCCGCGUGAGGGAUGAAGGUCUUCGGGUUGUAAACUUCUUUUGUCAGGGACGAAGCAAGUGACGGUACCUGACGAAUAAGCCACGGCUAACUACGUGCCAGCAGCCGCGGUAAUACGUAGGUGGCAAGCGUUAUCCGGAUUUAUUGGGUGUAAAGGGCGUGUAGGCGGGAAUGCAAGUCAGAUGUGAAAACUAUGGGCUCAACCCAUAGCCUGCAUUUGAAACUGUAUUUCUUGAGUGCUGGAGAGGCAAUCGGAAUUCCGUGGGUAGCGGUGAAAUGCGUAGAUAUACGGAGGAACACCAGUGGCGAAGGCGGAUUGCUGGACAGUAACUGACGCUGAGGCGCGAAAGCGUGGGGAGCAAACAGGAUUAGAUACCCCUGUAGUC
RNAcentral lists this ribosomal RNA (443 nucleotides) under uncultured bacterium. RNAcentral describes it as "partial 16S ribosomal RNA". It matches the Rfam family "Bacterial small subunit ribosomal RNA", at positions 338 to 795 of the family's 1533-position model. The record is from RNAcentral.